GUUGAUAGGACAGCACACAUCUGGAGGACAAGAAGAAGCUUGAGAAAUUUUGGAGUCUGUUCCACGUUGUUGCUAAGCACCAGGGAAGGGGAAAUCCCACAGUUGCAAAGCUUUCGCUUAAAACAGCUCGUAUCCUCAAGCCCUGACUCCUGUGAAUAUGCUUUUCUAAGCAGUGCCAUCUAAGAUACCUUGGAGGGUGAAUCCAUCUAAAAGUGCUCCUGCUUUAGUAAAAAGUGUUUGAUGGCAUGGCAGGGGUGAAAGGAUGAAGUCUUCUAAAGAAACCCGGCACGUUGGUGAACUGAGACAAGCAGUCAGGAGGGGCACUCCACUGCCACAGCAAUAGCCAUGGGAACAUUCCCUUCCAAUGCCAUUUCUUUGAGAAGACUGAUGAGGCUGCUAUCAAAAGUCACAGAGCAAUUAUCAGGAUUGAGAAAACAAUCUACAUACAGGUCCAGUGUCUUGAAUUCCAUUGAUUCUCUUUUUAAAUCUAGUACAUGGGUCAACUUCUAUAAAACACAACAAGAAAGAAAAGAUCCAUUGCCAGCCUUGAGAGUGAAUGAGCUCAGACACCAGCUAGGAAAUCCUUACAUCCAAAUCCCUUCUUAUAUCCAAAUGGCUUACAAUGUUCCUGGAGAGUGAGAUCAGGAGAACUCUCUUGUGAAGCAGCCAUGGAUCCAAAUCUAAGUCUGACUUUACACAGACUUGGCAAACAGUGAGAACUUCAAAUCCUUCAUGCUUGGCCAUCAAAAUGACCAAAAAGAGUGGGGAAUCUAAUAAGAAGGUCUAGAGAGGAAAGUGAUGGCUUCGUUCCCUGCAAAGCUGGUGAACUCCACGGGACAGAAUCCGCAUACAAGUAAGAAGGGCCCUCUGCAUAGCCGCGGCAGCUGAGCUGGGGAACUGAAACGACCAUCCCAGUAGCGGAGUCUGCAAUAGACGGUAGCUGGAACCAUGCAGCACUGGGAGGAACCCGCGGAGAGAAGAGCCACUGAAAUGAACACAUUGCCCUCUGUUUGCUUAUGCACAGUCACUUCAACAGUGGCCCUCCUUUGGCGCAAAACAAAUCUUUCACUGCACAUUUUGAAGUAAGAGCAAAGUGAGGCAUUCAACCAUCUCUGAGGUCCCCACCCCCGCGGGGUGGAGGGGUGAGGGGAGUCGGGUCUCAAGUGCUCUGGUCGAUUCUGGGAUAUCAGACAUACAAAUCUUCUAAUGAAAAUGCAAUGGCCCUUGAGCCAUUCUGGCUCCAGGAUACUGUAAUAUUCUCCUUUAUAAGGAGGGGUGAGCCAGAGAUGAGCCUUCUAAAAAGAGCAAGGAAGGAUUCUUGAACACAAGGAGCCAAGAUUCUAGGACAACAUGAAUGUGAAAGCUGUAAAGACGGACAGAGCUAUUCUUUUGUCAAGGAAUAAAAGGAAAUUC
Molecule: long non-coding RNA, 1413 nt
Organism: Mesocricetus auratus (golden hamster)
Lineage: Eukaryota; Metazoa; Chordata; Mammalia; Rodentia; Cricetidae
Exons: 3
Source: RefSeq, a predicted model, not a curated record